AGUGAACGCUGGCGGCAGGCCUAACACAUGCAAGUCGAACGAGUGGCGGACGGGUGUGUAACGUCUGGGAAACUGCCCGAUGGAGGGGGAUAACUAUUGGAACCGGUAGCUAAUACCGCAUACCAUCGGAUGUGCCCUGACGGGAUUAGCUAGUAGGUGGGGUAACGGCUCACCUAGGCGACGCUCCCUAGCUGGUCUGAGAGGAUGACCAGCCACACUGGAACGGAGACACGGUCCCGACUCCUACGGGAGGCCGCAGUGGGGAAUAUUGCACAAUGGGCGAAAGCCGGAUGCAGCCAUGCCGCGUGUAUGAGGAGGGCCUUCGGGUUGUAAAGUACUUUCAGCGAGGAGGCGUUACUCGCAGAAGAAGCCCCGGCUAACUCCGUGCCAGCAGCCGCGGUAAUUC
This 406-nucleotide ribosomal RNA is filed under the name uncultured bacterium. RNAcentral describes it as "partial 16S ribosomal RNA". It matches the Rfam family "Bacterial small subunit ribosomal RNA", at positions 29 to 526 of the family's 1533-position model. The record is from RNAcentral.